GGUGAUUUAAUANGUAUGACAUUCAGUCCAAAUAACAUUCAACAUUUAUAUUAUUAGAAAAUAAACAAGUACAUUAUUUGGUAACAUAUAGUCAUUACAAGGAUGAAAUGUCACACGCAAAUUGGGUUGUUGAAAAUACAACUACACCCUUUCAUGAAAACUUCUACGGUAUUGUCAUGGUUGUGAUGUUGAACCUCAAAGACAAGAACGUCUCCUUCCUUCAAGCCAUAUUGCCUGCAAAAAUCUUUCCAACCUUUUCCAAACUUUGUUGAAUUUCUUGAAUGUGAAACCAAGACCUUGCACAUGAUGCCGUCGUUAUGACCAAGAAGCACAACCUCUGUGAAGCCUCUGUUCCUGAUUUCAUUCGCAAAUGCUGUGCGCAAGUNCUG
This 389-nucleotide long non-coding RNA is filed under the name Vigna radiata. RNAcentral's name for it is "long non-coding RNA (VRAD_LNC009240)". The record is from RNAcentral. Lineage: Eukaryota; Viridiplantae; Streptophyta; Magnoliopsida; Fabales; Fabaceae.